GCUCAGGAUGAACGCUAGCUACAGGCUUAACACAUGCAAGUCGAGGGGAAACGACAUCGAAAGCUUGCUUUUGAUGGGCGUCGACCGGCGCACGGGUGAGUAACGCGUAUCCAACCUGCCCACCACUUGGGGAUAACCUUGCGAAAGUAAGACUAAUACCCAAUGAUAUCUCUAGAAGACAUCUGAAAGAGAUUAAAGAUUUAUCGGUGAUGGAUGGGGAUGCGUCUGAUUAGCUUGUUGGCGGGGUAACGGCCCACCAAGGCAACGAUCAGUAGGGGUUCUGAGAGGAAGGUCCCCCACAUUGGAACUGAGACACGGUCCAAACUCCUACGGGAGGCAGCAGUGAGGAAUAUUGGUCAAUGGACGAGAGUCUGAACCAGCCAAGUAGCGUGCAGGAUGACGGCCCUAUGGGUUGUAAACUGCUUUUAUAAGGGAAUAAAGUGAGUCUCGUGAGACUUUUUGCAUGUACCUUAUGAAUAAGGACCGGCUAAUUCCGUGCCAGCAGCCGCGGUAAUACGGAAGGUCCGGGCGUUAUCCGGAUUUAUUGGGUUUAAAGGGAGCGUAGGCCGGAGAUUAAGCGUGUUGUGAAAUGUAGACGCUCAACGUCUGCACUGCAGCGCGAACUGGUUUCCUUGAGUACGCACAAAGUGGGCGGAAUUCGUGGUGUAGCGGUGAAAUGCUUAGAUAUCACGAAGAACUCCGAUUGCGAAGGCAGCUCACUGGAGCGCAACUGACGCUGAAGCUCGAAAGUGCGGGUAUCGAACAGGAUUAGAUACCCUGGUAGUCCGCACGGUAAACGAUGGAUGCCCGCUGUUGGUCUGAAUAGGUCAGCGGCCAAGCGAAAGCAUUAAGCAUCCCACCUGGGGAGUACGCCGGCAA
This 879-nucleotide ribosomal RNA is filed under the name uncultured bacterium. RNAcentral describes it as "bacterial SSU rRNA". It matches the Rfam family "Bacterial small subunit ribosomal RNA", at positions 22 to 891 of the family's 1533-position model. The record is from RNAcentral.